RNAcentral lists this ribosomal RNA (2901 nucleotides) under Klebsiella quasipneumoniae subsp. quasipneumoniae. Its description in RNAcentral is "23S ribosomal RNA". It matches the Rfam family "Bacterial large subunit ribosomal RNA". Lineage: Bacteria; Pseudomonadati; Pseudomonadota; Gammaproteobacteria; Enterobacterales; Enterobacteriaceae. The record is from RNAcentral.
UUAAGCGACUAAGCGUACACGGUGGAUGCCCUGGCAGUCAGAGGCGAUGAAGGACGUGCUAAUCUGCGAAAAGCGUCGGUAAGGUGAUAUGAACCGUUAUAACCGGCGAUGUCCGAAUGGGGAAACCCAGUGUGAUUCGUCACACUAUCGUUAACUGAAUACAUAGGUUAACGAGGCGAACCGGGGGAACUGAAACAUCUAAGUACCCCGAGGAAAAGAAAUCAACCGAGAUUCCCCCAGUAGCGGCGAGCGAACGGGGAGCAGCCCAGAGUCUGAAUCAGCUUGUGUGUUAGUGGAACGGUCUGGAAAGUCCGACGGUACAGGGUGAUAGUCCCGUACACCAAAAUGCACAGGUUGUGAACUCGAAGAGUAGGGCGGGACACGUGGUAUCCUGUCUGAAUAUGGGGGGACCAUCCUCCAAGGCUAAAUACUCCUGACUGACCGAUAGUGAACCAGUACCGUGAGGGAAAGGCGAAAAGAACCCCGGCGAGGGGAGUGAAAAAGAACCUGAAACCGUGUACGUACAAGCAGUGGGAGCACCUUUAUGGUGUGACUGCGUACCUUUUGUAUAAUGGGUCAGCGACUUAUAUUCUGUAGCAAGGUUAACCGUAUAGGGGAGCCGCAGGGAAACCGAGUCUUAACUGGGCGUUAAGUUGCAGGGUAUAGACCCGAAACCCGGUGAUCUAGCCAUGGGCAGGUUGAAGGUUGGGUAACACUAACUGGAGGACCGAACCGACUAAUGUUGAAAAAUUAGCGGAUGACUUGUGGCUGGGGGUGAAAGGCCAAUCAAACCGGGAGAUAGCUGGUUCUCCCCGAAAGCUAUUUAGGUAGCGCCUCGUGAACUCAUCGACUUACCAACCCGAUGCAAACUACGAAUACCGCAUCCCGACUUACCAACCCGAUGCAAACUACGAAUACCGAAGAAUGUUAUCACGGGAGACACACGGCGGGUGCUAACGUCCGUCGUGAAGAGGGAAACAACCCAGACCGCCAGCUAAGGUCCCAAAGUCAUGGUUAAGUGGGAAACGAUGUGGGAAGGCACAGACAGCCAGGAUGUUGGCUUAGAAGCAGCCAUCAUUUAAAGAAAGCGUAAUAGCUCACUGGUCGAGUCGGCCUGCGCGGAAGAUGUAACGGGGCUAAACCAUGCACCGAAGCUGCGGCAGCGACGCUUAGGCGUUGUUGGGUAGGGGAGCGUUCUGUAAGCCUGCGAAGGUGACCUGUGAGGGUUGCUGGAGGUAUCAGAAGUGCGAAUGCUGACAUAAGUAACGAUAAAGCGGGUGAAAAGCCCGCUCGCCGGAAGACCAAGGGUUCCUGUCCAACGUUAAUCGGGGCAGGGUGAGUCGACCCCUAAGGCGAGGCCGAAAGGCGUAGUCGAUGGGAAACAGGUUAAUAUUCCUGUACUUGGUGUUACUGCGAAGGGGGGACGGAGAAGGCUAUGUUAGCCGGGCGACGGUUGUCCCGGUUUAAGCAUGUAGGCUGGUUAUCCAGGCAAAUCCGGAUAAUCAAGGCUGAGGUGUGAUGACGAGGUACUACGGUACUGAAGUAACAAAUGCCCUGCUUCCAGGAAAAGCCUCUAAGCAUCAGGUAACAUCAAAUCGUACCCCAAACCGACACAGGUGGUCAGGUAGAGAAUACCAAGGCGCUUGAGAGAACUCGGGUGAAGGAACUAGGCAAAAUGGUGCCGUAACUUCGGGAGAAGGCACGCUGGUGUGUAGGUGAAGUCCCUGCGGAUGGAGCUGAGACCAGUCGAAGAUACCAGCUGGCUGCAACUGUUUAUUAAAAACACAGCACUGUGCAAACACGAAAGUGGACGUAUACGGUGUGACGCCUGCCCGGUGCCGGAAGGUUAAUUGAUGGGGUUAUCCGUAAGGAGAAGCUCUUGAUCGAAGCCCCGGUAAACGGCGGCCGUAACUAUAACGGUCCUAAGGUAGCGAAAUUCCUUGUCGGGUAAGUUCCGACCUGCACGAAUGGCGUAAUGAUGGCCAGGCUGUCUCCACCCGAGACUCAGUGAAAUUGAACUCGCUGUGAAGAUGCAGUGUACCCGCGGCAAGACGGAAAGACCCCGUGAACCUUUACUAUAGCUUGACACUGAACAUUGAGCCUUGAUGUGUAGGAUAGGUGGGAGGCUUUGAAGCGUGGACGCCAGUCUGCGUGGAGCCAACCUUGAAAUACCACCCUUUAAUGUUUGAUGUUCUAACGUGGGCCCCUUAUCGGGGUUGCGGACAGUGUCUGGUGGGUAGUUUGACUGGGGCGGUCUCCUCCCAAAGCGUAACGGAGGAGCACGAAGGUUAGCUAAUCCUGGUCGGACAUCAGGAGGUUAGUGCAAUGGCAUAAGCUAGCUUGACUGCGAGCGUGACGGCGCGAGCAGGUGCGAAAGCAGGUCAUAGUGAUCCGGUGGUUCUGAAUGGAAGGGCCAUCGCUCAACGGAUAAAAGGUACUCCGGGGAUAACAGGCUGAUACCGCCCAAGAGUUCAUAUCGACGGCGGUGUUUGGCACCUCGAUGUCGGCUCAUCACAUCCUGGGGCUGAAGUAGGUCCCAAGGGUAUGGCUGUUCGCCAUUUAAAGUGGUACGCGAGCUGGGUUUAGAACGUCGUGAGACAGUUCGGUCCCUAUCUGCCGUGGGCGCUGGAGAAUUGAGGGGGGCUGCUCCUAGUACGAGAGGACCGGAGUGGACGCAUCACUGGUGUUCGGGUUGUCAUGCCAAUGGCACUGCCCGGUAGCUAAAUGCGGAAGAGAUAAGUGCUGAAAGCAUCUAAGCACGAAACUUGCCCCGAGAUGAGUUCUCCCUGAGACUAUAAGUCUCCUGAAGGAACGUUGAAGACGACGACGUUGAUAGGCCGGGUGUGUAAGCGCAGCGAUGCGUUGAGCUAACCGGUACUAAUGAACCGUGAGGCUUAACCU